UAGAAGGCGAUUUUUGGAGGAAUUUUCACGUGGGUGUUUGGGAUUUCGAGACGUGGGCCCGGGAGCCGGGACAUUUGGAGGCCGAUUCGCGAGGCAAAGGCAUAUUGGAGUAAAGUUUUGCUCGAAUUGAG
Nicotiana attenuata is the source of this 131-nucleotide long non-coding RNA. RefSeq lists it as uncharacterized. The transcript is spliced from 3 exons. Lineage: Eukaryota; Viridiplantae; Streptophyta; Magnoliopsida; Solanales; Solanaceae. The record is from RefSeq and is a predicted model, not a curated record.